CAGUAGCCGCGGGAAUACGAAGGGUGCAAGCGUUACUCGGAUUUACUGGGCGUAAAGCGUGCGUAGGCGGCUUCUUAAGUCGGAUGUGAAAUCCCUGAGCUUAACUUAGGAAUUGCAUUCGAUACUGGGAAGCUAGAGUAUGGGAGAGGAUGGUAGAAUUCCAGGUGUAGCGGUGAAAUGCGUAGAGAUCUGGAGGAAUACCGAUGGCGAAGGCAGCCAUCUGGCCUAAUACUGACGCUGAGGUACGAAAGCAUGGGGAGCAAACAGGAUUAGAUACCCCCGUAGUCCCUGUCUCUUAUAC
This 301-nucleotide ribosomal RNA is filed under the name uncultured bacterium. RNAcentral's name for it is "partial 16S ribosomal RNA". It matches the Rfam family "Bacterial small subunit ribosomal RNA", at positions 509 to 807 of the family's 1533-position model. The record is from RNAcentral.